Molecule: ribosomal RNA, 253 nt
Filed under: uncultured bacterium
Lineage: Bacteria
Description: partial 16S ribosomal RNA
Rfam family: Bacterial small subunit ribosomal RNA
Source: RNAcentral
UACGGAGGGUGCAAGCGUUAUCCGGAUUCACUGGGUUUAAAGGGUGCGUAGGUGGGUUAGUAAGUCAGUGGUGAAAUCCCCGAGCUUAGCUUGGGAACUGCCAUUGAUACUAUUAAUCUUGAAUAUUGUGGAGGUUAGCGGAAUAUGUCAUGUAGCGGUGAAAUGCUUAGAUAUGACAUAGAACACCAAUUGCGAAGGCAGCUGGCUACACAUAUAUUGACACUGAGGCACGAAAGCGUGGGGAUCAAACAGG